AUCAAAAAACCUACAGCUGUUAUAUAUUGCAUAUACAUACUGUAUUUGACAGCUAAUAUAUGAAACAACACUCUGAGACCAAGUCUCAUACUGUAUUUCACAACACUUCUGAGACUCAACGAUUACAACAACAAACAAUGAUAUGCAAGCUAAUAUAUGCAAAUGUCAGACCAAUAAUAUGCAAAUGUCAGACCAAAGCAAUAACAUGUAUCUUUUUGAAACUUUUAGCAAAUGAUAGAUCAAACCCUAGUCAAAUGAUAAAUGUCAGACCAAAACUUUUAGCAAUACCAAACAUCACACAUCAAACAAAACAAACAGAGGGACAAAAGUGUUAAUACCAGAAUGUUUCAACGUCUGGGAUUGGGUGUACAGACAAUCGAGGAAGAUGUUCUCGGCCUGGAAGAGCUAGCAAACGAUCCAGCAUUUCUUGGUAGUCUUCCCCAGGAUUAGGGUUUUCUUCGUCAUCUUCUUGUCCUACAUCAUCGAUCUCUUCCUCUACAAGGUCUUCAUUUUCAGGUAGCACUUGGUUAUUCGCAUCAUGUUCCGGUAGAGGCUGGGUUUGAGGAGACGGUGGCUGAUGCUGCGGCUGAGGAGGAGGAGUCUGUCUAUUGAGAGGAGGAGUCUGCCUAGGAGGAGGAUUCUGUCUACUAGAAUUAAGUGAAGGACGACUCACUUG
RNAcentral lists this long non-coding RNA (676 nucleotides) under Arabidopsis lyrata. RNAcentral's name for it is "long non-coding RNA (ALYR_LNC001930)". The record is from RNAcentral. Lineage: Eukaryota; Viridiplantae; Streptophyta; Magnoliopsida; Brassicales; Brassicaceae.